CGGCGAAAGCCGGGAUUAAUACCGCAUACGACCUACGGGUGAAAGCGGGGGAUCGCAAGACUUCGCGCUAUCGGAGCGGCCGAUGUCAGAUUAGCUAGUUGGUGGGGUAAAGGCCUACCAAGGCGACGAUCUGUAGCUGGUCUGAGAGGACGACCAGCCACACUGGGACUGAGACACGGCCCAGACUCCUACGGGAGGCAGCAGUGGGGAAUUUUGGACAAUGGGCGCAAGCCUGAUCCAGCCAUGCCGCGUGCGGGAAGAAGGCCUUCGGGUUGUAAACCGCUUUUGUCAGGGAAGAAACGCUCCGGGCUAAUACCUCGGAGUAAUGACGGUACCUGAAGAAUAAGCACCG
This 352-nucleotide ribosomal RNA is filed under the name uncultured soil bacterium. RNAcentral describes it as "bacterial SSU rRNA". It matches the Rfam family "Bacterial small subunit ribosomal RNA", at positions 149 to 495 of the family's 1533-position model. The record is from RNAcentral.